GCACGCUCUGAAUUCUCGGAUGUGGCAUCCAUUAUCAACAAAUACUGGUGCUGGAGAGCAAAGCAUUGCACAAACACAGGAACUGUUGUAUGUGGAAGAGAUUUGCGCAACAAAGCGAGGAAAUAUUUCGUUAAUACGUGUGCUAUGUAUAAAGUUAAUUGUUUACGAAGAUACGGUUUUACUGCAACAAACAUGAGUAGAUGCAUUGAAUAUUGAUAUUUUUAAUUAAACUUAACUUGUGAUUUAUUAUUACCGUUUGUGAUUAUAAAUUAUUUAUUUGAAAAUGUUAUUUAAAUCACAUAUAACAUCAUUUUUUAUUUCACUUUCGUACUUCUAUACCUUUAUAAUAAACGGAAUUUGUCUUAAAGGCGAUGUUGAUCCAUACGAUGACCCAAUAACAAGAGAGAGGUUUGCUCAGUUCUAUUGCUUCAAAGAGAAGACAUGUACACCUGGCGGUGAUAGAGUGUGUGGCUUCGAUAAAAAAAAUUCAGUGUUGGCUGAAUUUGAAGAUUUGUGUAUUCUAUAUAGAGCCAACUGCAAUAGAAAAGGACUAUUCAUCGCGAUAAAGGAAUAUAUAUGCGCUGGUCAAAAAUUAUAUGAUGCACAAAAUUCAGUAAGAAGUCAAUAUGCGAUGGAAUGGGAACAUGUGCCUAGACUUAACAUAACUGCAGCAAGAAAGAAGGGAUAGAACAGCUAUACGGAAAUUAUUGAAUUAAAAAAAAUACUUCUAGCAAGUGAUUGCAUAUUCUAUUAUCGCUUAGAUAACAGUUAGUUGAAAUAAUAAUGAGGAUACAAUAAAUUGUCAAAAACCACCAGUCGACCAGUAAAAUUAUCAAAAUAUCAGUAAUUCUUGUUCAUUGCUUAUGGUUCGGUACAAUUAAGGUUCGGCCUUAUAAAUCAUAACUGAAGUACUUAUGUCGCGGUGUUUGUAGUUAAACUCCUUCGAAACGGCUUGACCGAUUCUCAUGAAAUUUUGAGUGCAUAUUGGGUAGGUCUGAGAAUCGGACAACAUCUAUUUUUCAUCCCCCUAAAUGUUAAGGGUGGUCCACGCUAAAGCUUUUUUUUAAAUAUUUUUUGACAUAAUUUUGUAAAUUUGUUUGAUUAUGAGUCAGCAUUAAAAAAUAC
Molecule: long non-coding RNA, 1125 nt
Organism: Leptidea sinapis
Lineage: Eukaryota; Metazoa; Arthropoda; Insecta; Lepidoptera; Pieridae
Exons: 5
Source: RefSeq, a predicted model, not a curated record